UUGGAUUCAAUGCCGUCCGGGUGUCGGGAGGUCCCUGCCAGAUGGCGCUGGUCGCCCACAACGAUUCAUUUCGUUUGUGGUGUCGUUCCCGGCGAUCACUCGGCAUUGUUGACCUAUGCCUGGCCCCGGAGGAGUGCACUUCCUCCCUAGUAGAAACGUCGCGACCCGUUGGGUGCCGGUCUAAGGCCCGGGAUGGCAGACCAUGUGUCCUGUGGGGGUUCUCACAGGCGUGUGGACUCUUGGUGACCCGGCCGGCUGCUCGACGGUAUGACCAGAGGAGUCGAUCCGCUAAAUGGGAAACACUAUGGUUUGUGUAGCGUCCGGCCCGGCGACGAUGCGUGCGGGGAUUGAGGUGUAAACCGGGGGUGUCCGUGCGAAGCACGGCCCCGGCCCUGCUGCGUUUUCGUUUGCCGGUGUCCUCGGACUGGAUCAGCACUCCCGUCUGCGACGCUCUUCUUCGGAUGGUCUCCCG
Molecule: ribosomal RNA, 472 nt
Filed under: Lamachodes sp. 2 SB-2021
Lineage: Eukaryota; Metazoa; Arthropoda; Insecta; Phasmatodea; Lonchodidae
Description: partial large subunit ribosomal RNA
Source: RNAcentral